RNAcentral lists this unclassified non-coding RNA (325 nucleotides) under air metagenome. Its description in RNAcentral is "partial contains small subunit ribosomal RNA, internal transcribed spacer 1, and 5.8S ribosomal RNA". The stretch from base 1 to 46 matches the Rfam family "Eukaryotic small subunit ribosomal RNA", at positions 1786 to 1831 of the family's 1831-position model. The record is from RNAcentral.
AAGUCGUAACAAGGUUUCCGUAGGUGAACCUGCGGAAGGAUCAUUAACGAAUAUCUAUGGCGUUGGUUGUAGCUGGCUCCUAGGAGCAUUGUGCACGCCCGUCAUUCAUAUCUUUCCACCUGUGAACCAUGUGUAGGCCUGGAUACCCCUCGCUUUGGCAACAAAGCGGAUACAAGGAUUGCUGCGUCGACAAGGCCGGCUCUCUUUGAAUUUCCAGGUUCUAUGUCUUUUUACACACCCCAUUUGAAUGAUUUAGAAUGUAGUCAAUGGGCUUUCAUGCCUAUAAAAAACUAUACAACUUUCAGCAACGGAUCUCUUGGCUCUC